GGAAAGGUGGCAGAGUGGUUUAUUGCACUGGUUUUGAAAACCAGCGUGGUCUUUACGGCCACCGAGGGUUCGACUCCCUCCCUUUCCG
This 88-nucleotide transfer RNA is filed under the name Staurocarteria crucifera. Its description in RNAcentral is "tRNA-Ser". It matches the Rfam family "tRNA". From Rfam's summary of the family: Transfer RNA (tRNA) molecules are approximately 80 nucleotides in length. Their secondary structure includes four short double-helical elements and three loops (D, anti-codon, and T loops). Lineage: Eukaryota; Viridiplantae; Chlorophyta; Chlorophyceae; Chlamydomonadales; Chlamydomonadaceae. The record is from RNAcentral.